Molecule: unclassified non-coding RNA, 253 nt
Filed under: Hevea brasiliensis (rubber tree)
Lineage: Eukaryota; Viridiplantae; Streptophyta; Magnoliopsida; Malpighiales; Euphorbiaceae
Source: RNAcentral
CUGUCACCCAAGGAUUUGGCAGGAACCUCUGGCUUUGGUGCUAUGGGCCUGUACCUAGACAUAAUCUCAACUGUCUUAGCAGUAGAGUAAGGACUCAGGGUCUUGAUCAUGGUGAAUGGAUUGAACAAGUGCUUAAAGAUGAAGAAGCAGGUCUAUAGCAGAAGAGAAAAUGGCGAAAGGGAUUGUGCAAUUGGUAGGUGAAAGGAGGAGAGGUGAAACUCGAAAGGAUGGGUAAGAGUGUGCGUUUAGAAGG